AGUGAACGCUGGCGGUAGGCCUAACACAUGCAAGUCGAACGGCAGCACAGUAAGAGCUUGCUCUUACGGGUGGCGAGUGGCGGACGGGUGAGGAAUACAUCGGAAUCUACUUUUUCGUGGGGGAUAACGUAGGGAAACUUACGCUAAUACUGCAUACGACCUACGGGUGAAAGCAGGGGAUCUUCGGACCUUGCGCGAUUGAAUGAGCCGAUGUCGGAUUAGCUAGUUGGCGGGGUAAAGGCCCACCAAGGCGACGAUCCGUAGCUGGUCUGAGAGGAUGAUCAGCCACACUGGAACUGAGACACGGUCCAGACUCCUACGGGAGGCAGCAGUGGGGAAUAUUGGACAAUGGGCGAAAGCCUGAUCCAGCCAUACCGCGUGGGUGAAGAAGGCCUUCGGGUUGUAAAGCCCUUUUGUUGGGAAAGAAAAGCAGCAGGUUAAUACCCCGCUGUUCUGACGGUACCCAAAGAAUAAGCACCGGCUAACUUCGUG
Molecule: ribosomal RNA, 492 nt
Filed under: uncultured bacterium
Lineage: Bacteria
Description: partial 16S ribosomal RNA
Rfam family: Bacterial small subunit ribosomal RNA
Source: RNAcentral